This 464-nucleotide ribosomal RNA is filed under the name uncultured bacterium. RNAcentral's name for it is "partial 16S ribosomal RNA". It matches the Rfam family "Bacterial small subunit ribosomal RNA", at positions 28 to 507 of the family's 1533-position model. The record is from RNAcentral.
GACGAACGCUGGCGGCGUGCUUAACACAUGCAAGUCGAACGGAAAGGCCCUGCUUGCAGGGUACUCGAGUGGCGAACGGGUGAGUAACACGUGGGUGAUCUGCCCUGCACUUCGGGAUAAGCCUGUGAAACUGGGUCUAAUACCGGAUAGGAGCCAUUUUUAGUGUGAUGGUUGGAAAGUUUUUUCGGUGUUGGAUGAGCUCGCUGCCUAUCAGCUUGUUGGUGGGGUAAUGGCCUACCAAGGCGGCUACGGGUAGCCGGCCUGAGAGGGUGGACGGCCACAAUGGGACUGAGAUACGGCCCAGAAUGCUACGGGAGGCAGCAGUGGGGAAUAUUGCACAAUGGGCGCAAGCCUGAUGCAGAGACGCCGCGUGGGGGAUGACGGCCUUCGGGUUGUAAACAACUUUCGCUAGGGACGAAGCUUUUUGUGACGGUACUAAGAUAAGAAGCACCGGCUACUACGUG